AGAUGAGUUCUCCCUGAGACUUUAAGUCUCCUGAAGGAACGUUGAAGACGACGACGUUGAUAGGCCGGGUGUGUAAGCGCAGCGAUGCGUUGAGCUAACCGGUACUAAUGAACCGUGAGGCUUAACCUUA
Molecule: ribosomal RNA, 130 nt
Filed under: Kosakonia oryzendophytica
Lineage: Bacteria; Pseudomonadati; Pseudomonadota; Gammaproteobacteria; Enterobacterales; Enterobacteriaceae
Description: 23S rRNA. Bacterial LSU
Rfam family: Bacterial large subunit ribosomal RNA
Source: RNAcentral